AAACCCCUUAUCGAGUAUCAAUUGGAGGGCAAGUCUGGUGCCAGCAGCCGCGGUAAUUCCAGCUCCAAUAGCGUAUAUUAAAGUUGUUGCAGUUAAAAAGCUCGUAGUUGGAUUUGUGGGCGUCGCGGGCGGCCUCGCACCUAGUGCGGGUGCCUGCCUGCGUCCCCAUCCUUCGUUGGAACCUGUGUGGCAUUAGGUUGUCGUGCAGGGGAUGGCGAUCGUUUACUGUGAAAAAAUUAGAGUGUUCAAAGCAGGCUUAUGCCGUUGAAUAUGUUAGCAUGGAAUAAUAAGAUAGGACCUUGGUACUAUUUUGUUGGUUUGCGCACCAAGGUAAUGAUUAAAAGGGACAGUUGCGGCAUUUCGUAUUCCAUUGUCAGAGGUGAAAUUCUUGGAUUUUUGGAAGACGAACUACUGCGAAAGCAUUAUGCAAGGAUGUUUUCAUUAAUCAAGAACGAAAGUUAGGGGAUCGAAGAUGAUUAGAUACCAUCGUAGUCUUAACCAUAAACUAUGCCGACAAGGGAUUGGCGGAGUUUCGUUUCGUCUCCGCCAGCACCUUAUGAGAAAUCACAAGUCUUUGGGUUCCGGGGGGAGUAUGGUCGCAAGGCUGAAACUUAAAGAAAUUGACGGAAGGGCACCACCAGGAGUGGAGCCUGCGGCUUAAUUUGACCCAACACGGGAAAACUUACCAGGUCCAGACAUAGUGAGGAUUGACAGAUUGAGAGCUCUUUCUUGAUUCUAUGGGUGGUGGUGCAUGGCCGUUCUUAGUUGGUGGAGUGAUUUGUUAAUUCCGUUAACGAACGAGACCCCUGCCUGCUAAAUAGCCUGCCGAGUGAAUUUUCACUGGGUUAUGCUUCUUAGAGGGACGUGCAUUCUAUUAGAUGCAGGAAGAUAGGGGCAAUAACAGGUCUGUGAUGCCCUUAGAUGUCCUGGGCCGCACGCGCGCUACACUGAUGCAAUCAACGAGUUUUUCCUUGGCCGAGAGGCCUGGGUAAUCUUUUGAACCUGCAUCGUGAUAGGGAUAGAUUAUUGCAAUUAUUAAUCUUGAACGAGGAAUUCCUAGUAAACGCAGAUCAUCAAUCUGCAUUGAUUACGUCCCUGCCCUUUGUACACACCGCCCGUCGCACCUACCGAUUGAAUGGUCCGGUGAAGCCUCGGGAUUGUGGUGGGUUCCCUUUAUUGGGAGUUCACCGCGAGAACUUGUCUAAACCUUAUCAUUUAGAGGAAGGUGAAGUC
This 1233-nucleotide ribosomal RNA is filed under the name metagenome. Its description in RNAcentral is "SSU rRNA". It matches the Rfam family "Eukaryotic small subunit ribosomal RNA", at positions 527 to 1790 of the family's 1831-position model. The record is from RNAcentral.